RNAcentral lists this ribosomal RNA (253 nucleotides) under uncultured bacterium. RNAcentral's name for it is "partial 16S ribosomal RNA". It matches the Rfam family "Bacterial small subunit ribosomal RNA", at positions 524 to 776 of the family's 1533-position model. The record is from RNAcentral.
AACGUAGGACGCAAGCGUUAUCCGGAGUUACUGGGCGUAAAGCGCGGGCAGGCGGCUCGAUGCGUCCGAUGUGAAAGCGCCCCGCUUAACGGGGCGAGGCCAUUGGAAACGGUCGAGCUGGAGGGCAGUAGAGGCAGGCGGAAUUCCGGGUGGAGUGGUGGAAUGCGUAGAGAUCCGGAGGAACACCAGAGGCGAAGGCGGCCUGCUGGGCUGCACCUGACGCUGAUGCGCGAAAGCCAGGGGAGCGAACGGG